Molecule: ribosomal RNA, 429 nt
Filed under: uncultured bacterium
Lineage: Bacteria
Description: bacterial SSU rRNA
Rfam family: Bacterial small subunit ribosomal RNA
Source: RNAcentral
AUUGAACGCUGGCGGCAUGCCUUACACAUGCAAGUCGAACGGCAGCACGGGAGCAAUCCUGGUGGCGAGUGGCGAACGGGUGAGUAAUAUAUCGGAACGUGCCCGGUCGUGGGGGAUAACGUAGCGAAAGCUACGCUAAUACCGCAUACGAUCUACGGAUGAAAGCGGGGGAUCGCAAGACCUCGCGCGAUUGGAGCGGCCGAUAUCAGAUUAGGUAGUUGGUGAGGUAAAGGCUCACCAAGCCGACGAUCUGUAGCUGGUCUGAGAGGACGACCAGCCACACUGGGACUGAGACACGGCCCAGACUCCUACGGGAGGCAGCAGUGGGGAAUUUUGGACAAUGGGCGCAAGCCUGAUCCAGCAAUGCCGCGUGCAGGAUGAAGGCCUUCGGGUUGUAAACGUGACUUUGUUACGGUAACGAAACCGGUA